Vicia faba (fava bean) is the source of this 381-nucleotide non-coding RNA. The record is from the annotation of a GenBank genome assembly. Lineage: Eukaryota; Viridiplantae; Streptophyta; Magnoliopsida; Fabales; Fabaceae.
AUGAAGGAAUAUUCUUAUCGACGGUUGACUCCACGACGGCUGUGUUGCGGUUGCAGUGGAGCGGUUGACCGUGCGUAUGGAUCUGCGACAGUGUCGGAGGGUGGAGCCGACGGGAGCUGUAGCAUGGAGGGCGCGGUCGGAUGGCGGAUCUGGCGACUGUGGUGGUGCAAUGACAGAGGUUAUGGAUGUUGGGCGGUCGUGUGUUCAGGACAUAACCAGAGGGAGCUGGUCGUUAAUCUAUUGCAUCGUGGAUGUAGCCAGAAACAGAGCUGGAUGGCGCUGCAAAGGUUGACGGCGACCGAGGUAGCAUGCGGACAGAGGGAGAUGGUGCUCUCGAUGGAUUCUUAUUGUGCCAAUGAAGGACUCGCGGCAACUUCGUAA